Molecule: non-coding RNA, 150 nt
Organism: Caenorhabditis elegans
Lineage: Eukaryota; Metazoa; Nematoda; Chromadorea; Rhabditida; Rhabditidae
Source: Ensembl
UCAGUGUCCGCUGCCGUUUUACACCCAAGGAACGCGACCAGCUAAUCAUGAUUCGAUUUUGGCCGUCGGCUUCUUCUUGAAUCCGGUCUAUCGUUUCUGGUUGGAUCCAACAGUUCUUCGUGAUUUGAUGCAUGAAUUCGUACCGGAAAG